AUUGAACGCUGGCGGCAUGCUUUACACAUGCAAGUCGAACGGAGGUAGGGGCAACUCUACUUCAGUGGCGGACGGGUGAGGAAUGCGUCGGAAUCUACCCUAUGGUGGGGGAUAACACAGGGAAACUUGUGCUAAUACCGCAUAAUGUCGAGAGACCAAAGCAGGGGACCGCAAGGCCUUGCGCGAUAGGAUGAGCCGACGCCCGAUUAGCUAGUUGGUAGGGUAAAGCCUACCAAGGCGACGAUCGGUAGCUGGUCUGAGAGGAUGAUCAGCCACACUGGGGACUGAGACACGGCCCAGACUCCUACGGGAGGCAGCAGU
This 321-nucleotide ribosomal RNA is filed under the name uncultured bacterium. RNAcentral describes it as "bacterial SSU rRNA". It matches the Rfam family "Bacterial small subunit ribosomal RNA", at positions 30 to 355 of the family's 1533-position model. The record is from RNAcentral.